RNAcentral lists this transfer RNA (75 nucleotides) under Dallia pectoralis (Alaska blackfish). RNAcentral's name for it is "tRNA-OTHER". Lineage: Eukaryota; Metazoa; Chordata; Actinopteri; Esociformes; Umbridae. The record is from RNAcentral.
GGAGCAGUUGGUAUCUCAGUGGUAUCUGCAUGCUUUGUGUGUAUGAUGUCCUGGGUUCAAUCCCCAGCUUCUCCC